Molecule: ribosomal RNA, 613 nt
Filed under: Streptomyces sp. MER3
Lineage: Bacteria; Bacillati; Actinomycetota; Actinomycetes; Kitasatosporales; Streptomycetaceae
Description: partial 16S ribosomal RNA
Rfam family: Bacterial small subunit ribosomal RNA
Source: RNAcentral
ACGGCUCACCAAGGCGACNACGGGUAGCCGGCCUGAGAGGGCGACCGGCCACACUGGGACUGAGACACGGCCCAGACUCCUACNGGAGGCAGCAGUGGGGAAUAUUGCACAAUGGGCGAAAGCCUGAUGCAGCGACGCCGCGUGAGNGAUGACGGCCUUCGGGUUGUAAACCUCUUUCAGCAGGGAAGAAGCGAAANUGACGGUACCUGCGCAGUCGAUACGGGCAGGCUAGAGUUCGGUAGGGGAGAUCGGAAUUCCUGGUGUAGCNGUGAAAUGCGCAGAUAUCAGNAGGAACACCGGUGGCGAAGGCGGAUCUCUGGGCCGAUACUGACGCUGAGGAGCGAAAGCGUGGNGAGCGAACAGGAUUAGAUACCCUGGUAGUCCACGCCGUAAACGGUGNGCACUAGGUGUGGGCAACAUUCCACGUUGUUGUCGUGAGAUGUUGGNUUAAGUCCCGCAACGAGCGCAACCCUUGUCCCGGCUGCGGUGAAUACGUUCCCGGGCCUUGUACACACCGCCCGUCACGUCACNAAAGUCGGUAACACCCGAAGCCGGUGNCCCAACCCCUUGUGGGAGGGAGCUGUCGAAGGUGGGACUGGCGAUUGGNACGAAG